This 1248-nucleotide ribosomal RNA is filed under the name Salmonella enterica subsp. enterica serovar Anatum. RNAcentral's name for it is "partial 23S ribosomal RNA". It matches the Rfam family "Bacterial large subunit ribosomal RNA", at positions 381 to 1552 of the family's 2925-position model. Lineage: Bacteria; Pseudomonadati; Pseudomonadota; Gammaproteobacteria; Enterobacterales; Enterobacteriaceae. The record is from RNAcentral.
AAAAGCGCAUGUGCUGUGAGCUCGAUGAGUAGGGCGGGACACGUGGUAUCCUGUCUGAAUAUGGGGGGACCAUCCUCCAAGGCUAAAUACUCCUGACUGACCGAUAGUGAACCAGUACCGUGAGGGAAAGGCGAAAAGAACCCCGGCGAGGGGAGUGAAAAAGAACCUGAAACCGUGUACGUACAAGCAGUGGGAGCACAGGUUUACCUGUGUGACUGCGUACCUUUUGUAUAAUGGGUCAGCGACUUAUAUUCUGUAGCAAGGUUAACCGAAUAGGGGAGCCGGAGGGAAACCGAGUCUUAAUUGGGCGUUAAGUUGCAGGGUAUAGACCCGAAACCCGGUGAUCUAGCCAUGGGCAGGUUGAAGGUUGGGUAACACUAACUGGAGGACCGAACCGACUAAUGUUGAAAAAUUAGCGGAUGACCUGUGGCUGGGGGUGAAAGGCCAAUCAAACCGGGAGAUAGCUGGUUCUCCCCGAAAGCUAUUUAGGUAGCGCCUCGUGAAUUCAUCUCCGGGGGUAGAGCACUGUUUCGGCUAGGGGGCCAUCCCGGCUUACCAACCCGAUGCAAACUGCGAAUACCGGAGAAUGUUAUCACGGGAGACACACGGCGGGUGCUAACGUCCGUCGUGAAGAGGGAAACAACCCAGACCGCCAGCUAAGGUCCCAAAGUCAUGGUUAAGUGGGAAACGAUGUGGGAAGGCCCAGACAGCCAGGAUGUUGGCUUAGAAGCAGCCAUCAUUUAAAGAAAGCGUAAUAGCUCACUGGUCGAGUCGGCCUGCGCGGAAGAUGUAACGGGGCUAAACCAUGCACCGAAGCUGCGGCAGCGAACGUAUCACUUAAAGCGAUUCAGCGGGUUACGAUUGACGGAGCGAAGCGACGUCAAAGCGUAUACAAAGUCGAGUCGGUUUAAGGAUACGUUCGUUGGGUAGGGGAGCGUUCUGUAAGCCUGUGAAGGUGGCCUGUGAGGGUUGCUGGAGGUAUCAGAAGUGCGAAUGCUGACAUAAGUAACGAUAAAGCGGGUGAAAAGCCCGCUCGCCGGAAGACCAAGGGUUCCUGUCCAACGUUAAUCGGGGCAGGGUGAGUCGACCCCUAAGGCGAGGCCGAAAGGCGUAGUCGAUGGGAAACGGGUUAAUAUUCCCGUACUUGGUGUUACUGCGAAGGGGGGACGGAGAAGGCUAUGUUGGCCGGGCGACGGUUGUCCCGGUUUAAGCGUGUAGGUGUGUGUUCCAGGUAAAUCCGGUUCACUU